GAUGAACGCUGGCGGCGUGCCUAAUACAUGCAAGUCGAGCGAACGGACGAGAAGCUUGCUUCUCUGAUGUUAGCGGCGGACGGGUGAGUAACACGUGGAUAACCUACCUAUAAGACUGGGAUAACUUCGGGAAACCGGAGCUAAUACCGGAUGAUAUUUUGAACCGCAUGGUUCAAAAGUGAAAGACGGUCUUGCUGCCACUUAUAGAUGGAUCCGCGCUGCAUUAGCUAGUUGGUAAGGUAACGGCUUACCAAGGCAACGAUGCAUAGCCGACCUGAGAGGGUGAUCGGCCACACUGGAACUGGGACACGGUCCAGACUCCGACGGGAGGCAGCAGUAGGGAAUCUUCCGAAAUGGGCGGAAGCCUGACGGAGCAACGCCGCGUGAGUGAUGAGGGUCUGCGGAUCGUAAAACUCUGUUAUUAGGGAAGAACAUAUGUGUAAGUAACUGUGCACAUCGUGACGGUACCUAAUCAGAAAGCCACGGCUAACUACGUG
RNAcentral lists this ribosomal RNA (497 nucleotides) under uncultured bacterium. Its description in RNAcentral is "partial 16S ribosomal RNA". It matches the Rfam family "Bacterial small subunit ribosomal RNA", at positions 28 to 507 of the family's 1533-position model. The record is from RNAcentral.